RNAcentral lists this ribosomal RNA (386 nucleotides) under uncultured eukaryote. Its description in RNAcentral is "SSU rRNA". It matches the Rfam family "Eukaryotic small subunit ribosomal RNA", at positions 615 to 1004 of the family's 1831-position model. The record is from RNAcentral.
GCGGUUAAAAAGCUCGUAGUUGGAUUUCUGUCGAGGGCGGGCGGUCCGCACUAUGUGCGUGUAUCUUGUUCGGUCUUGGCAUCCUCUUGGGGAAUGCUUCUGUGCUUGAUUGCAUGGGGUGGAAUUCAAGACUUUUACUUUGAGGAAAUUAGAGUGUUCACGGCAAGCUACCGCUUUGUAUACAUUAGCAUGGAAUAAUAAUAUAGGGCGUAAGUUCUAUUUUGUUGGUUUCUAGGACAUACGCACAUGAUUAAUAGGGACAAUUGGGGGCAUUCGUAUUAACGCCUCAGAAGUGGAAUUCUUAGAUUGCGUUACGACGAACUACUGCGAAAGCAUUUGCCAAAGAUGUUUUCAUUGAUCAAGAACGAAAGUAUGGGGAUCGAAGA